AAUGGUUAUGGAACCAGCCCUCAGGUCUGGGAUAACCAAUACCAAAUCGGGGCUAAUACCGGAUGGGUGGGACCACCGCAUGGUCCGAGGAUGAAUGACGCUUCGGCGUCUUAUGUGGAUGGCUUUGCAGUGCAUUACCUAGGUGGCGAUGCAAUGGCGCACCAAGGCGACGAUGCAUAACCCAGCUGAUAAGGUGAUCGGCCAACUUGGGACUGAGACACCGCCGGGACUCCUUGGGGAGGGAGCGAAAGGGAAUCUUCCCCAAUGGACGAGUGUCUGAUGGAUCAACGCCUUGUGAACCAUUAAAGCCUUCGAGUCAUGGUUGUCUGUUGUUACGCAAGAACAAGUGCCUUACGCAAUGGCUGCACCUUGACGGUACCUUGCCAGAAAGCCACGGCUAACUACGUGCCGCCAGCCGCGGUAAUAAAUUACGUGGCAAGCGUUGUCCGGAAUUAUUGGGCGUAAAGCGCGCGCAAGCGGCCUCUUAAGUCUGAUGUGAAAGCCCCCGGCUCAACCUGGGAGGGCCAUUGUAAACUGGGAGGCUUGAGUAUGUGAGAGAAGAGUGGAAUUCCACAUGUAACGGUGAAAUGCUGACAGAUGUGAACG
This 606-nucleotide ribosomal RNA is filed under the name uncultured bacterium. Its description in RNAcentral is "bacterial SSU rRNA". It matches the Rfam family "Bacterial small subunit ribosomal RNA", at positions 112 to 704 of the family's 1533-position model. The record is from RNAcentral.